Pelobates cultripes (western spadefoot toad) is the source of this 558-nucleotide non-coding RNA. NCBI's taxonomy places the organism in Eukaryota, Metazoa, Chordata, Amphibia, Anura, Pelobatidae. The record is from the annotation of a GenBank genome assembly.
AGAGGGCGUAAUUGUACGUCCUCCGGUUUUAAGGGGUUAAAAGAAGAAAAACUACCACAACAAGAGGACAUAAUCUUAAAUUAGAGGGGCAAAGGUUCAAAAAUAUCAGGAAGAAUUACUUUACUGAGAGAGUAGUGGAUGUAUGGAAUAACCUUCCCAGCUGAAGUGGUAGAGGUUAACACAGUAAAGGAGUUUAAGCAUGUGUGGGAUAUGCAUAAGGCUAUCCUAACUAGAAGAUAAGGUCAGGGACUAAUGAAAGUAUUUAAAAAAAAUUGGGCAGACUAGAUGGGCUGGAUGGUUUUUUAUCUGCCGUCACAUUCUAAAUUUCUAAACUGUUUUUGGAGUGGCUUAGAAUCUUUCACCACAUUUGUAUGGAUGGCAGUCAGUCUAAACAUCUUGGACUUGCUUCAAGCAUUCUCAAGCCAUAGUUUUUCAAGUUGGUUGAAUUAUCAGUACAGCCUAGAACUGGGAAGUAGGGAUCGACCGACUUAUCGGUUUUGCCGGCAAUAUCAGUAUCGGCCAAUAGAGAUACCGAUAAUACCUCCUAGGACCGCCAGG